Armigeres subalbatus is the source of this 346-nucleotide long non-coding RNA. RefSeq lists it as uncharacterized. NCBI's taxonomy places the organism in Eukaryota, Metazoa, Arthropoda, Insecta, Diptera, Culicidae. The transcript has 4 exons. The record is from RefSeq and is a predicted model, not a curated record.
UGACAACCUGAGAAGAAGUGAAGUGCGUCGUGUAAUAAUCAAAAUUAAGAAUCUCAGGGUCGCAAGUUAAAAGUAUUAGACCAGCAAGUAAAGAGUCUAAGAAAUAAAAUCACAGAAAGUGAAAAAAGUAAAAUCUAUAGUACGGCUUUUUAUUAGUCAAUGUAAAAAGUGUUAAAAUAGUGCGCGGAUAAACGAAUAGACAAGAAAAAGGUUCCGACUAUUUCGUUCGACCGUGUAAGGUACAACCAAAGCCAGUGGUUCCACAGCGUCGACGCAAGGACUAUGAUUCCGAUGGAAUAACUCUCGGUCUAGUGGAAGUGUAGUGAUGAUUUUCAUUGUGGUGGUA